UGGGGAAUAUUGGACAAUGGGGGCAACCCUGAUCCAGCCAUGCCGCGUGUGUGAAGAAGGCCUUUUGGUUGUAAAGCACUUUAAGCAGGGAGGAGAGGCUAAUGGUUAAUACCCAUUAGAUUAGACGUUACCUGCAGAAUAAGCACCGGCUAACUCUGUGCCAGCAGCCGCGGUAAUACAGGAGGGUGCGAGCGUUAAUCGGAAUUACUGGGCGUAAAGCGAGUGUAGGUGGCUCAUUAAGUCACAUGUGAAAUCCCCGGGCUUAACCUGGGAACUGCAUGUGAUACUGGUGGUGCUAGAAUAUGUGAGAGGGAAGUAGAAUUCCAGGUGUAGCGGUGAAAUGCGUAGAGAUCUGGAGGAAUACCGAUGGCGAAGCAGCUUCUGGCAUAAUAUUGACACUGAGAUUCGAAAGCGUGGGUAGCAAACAGGAUUAGAUACCCUGGUAGUCCACGCCGUAAACGAUGUCUACUAGCCGUUGGGGUCCUUGAGACUUUAGUGGCGCAGUUAACGCGA
RNAcentral lists this ribosomal RNA (513 nucleotides) under uncultured bacterium. RNAcentral describes it as "partial 16S ribosomal RNA". It matches the Rfam family "Bacterial small subunit ribosomal RNA", at positions 355 to 860 of the family's 1533-position model. The record is from RNAcentral.